GGGAGACUCUGACUUCUGUCUUGCUAGGAUGUUCUGACUCUUUGUGCUUGCUGGCUCUAAUGAAGCCAGCUGCUCUGUCAUGAGAGGCAGCUUAGAGAGGCUCACGUGGCAAGGCAUUGAGGGUGGCCUCCAACCAACAGCUAGUGAGAAAUUGAAGUCCUCAGCCCAAUGGCCCAUGAAAAACUGAAUUCUGCAAAUAACCACACUCCCUCCCUAGAGAUCUCAUCAAAUAACCAGGAAAGACCAACCAACAGAGAAGAGACUGGAAUCAUCUGCCCAGAAAGACUUUUCAUCUAUUCUUCUAAGGACAGCUCCAAGAGAUUACCUGGGGGACUUUGUAUAAAAAAUAAGACAACCUGUGUUCCUGUGCAGCUUCAUCCCUCAUCUUUCCCUAAGUGUCAAGAAGCAAUAGUUAGUCCACAAGCACGAGUGAAAUUACUGAACAAAAUUAAGAUGGAUACAGCACUCUAAAACACCCAUUUGAAUGCAUGUGAAAUCGACGACUUUCUCAAGCUCCACGACCCUCAAACUAGAACAAGACCUCUCCUCCUCCCUGACUCGCCAGCUUCCGAACCCUUGAACUACAACGACAUUGCUCCUGCCUGGAUCUGCAGCUCCACGACCCUAAAACCAGAACAAGACCUCUCCUCCACGGGUUGCCAGCUACCAGACCCUCGAAUUACAACAACAUUGCUGCUGCCUGGGUCUGCAGUUCCACGACCCUCAAACUAGAACAAGACCUCUCCUCCCCGGGUCGCCAGCUUGCAGACCCUCAAACUACGACAACAUUGCUCCUCCCUGGGUCUGCAGUUCCACGACCCUCAAACUAGAACAAGACUUCUCCUGCCCGGGUUGCCAGCUACCUGACCUUCGAACUACAACAACAUUGCUCCUCCUUGGGUCUGCAGCUCCAUGAACCUCAAACUAGAACAAGACCUCUCCUCCCUGGGUCUCCAGCUUCCUGACCCUGGAACUACAACAACAUGGCUCCUCGCUGGGUCUGCAGCUCCUCAACUCUCACCCUAGAACAGCAGCACCAGCUCCUUCCUGGACCUCCCGAUCAAUGACCCUCAGACUUCAAAGGCAGCACCAGUUCCACCCCCAGGCUCCAGCUCCAGCACCCUCAGAUCUGAACAGCAGCAGCACCAGCUCCUGUGUGGCUCUUCUGUUUCAUGAUCCUUAAAUUAGAACAGCAGCACCAUCUUCUCCCUGGGUCUCCAGCUCUACAAAACUCAAGCUAGAAUAGCAGCACCGGCUCCUCUGGGAUCUUCAGCUCCACGACCCUGCAACAUCAGUGCAGCACCGGCUCCUCCCCUGGGCUCCAGCUCCAGGACCCUCAAACUUGAACAAAAACACCAGCUCCUCCCCAGGCCUCCAGCUCCUUGACCCUCAUAAACAAUCCCUUCUUAUGAAAUGUAGCAGUCAGGAAAACUGCAGAGGAAGUAAAUAAAUAAAUGUUUUCCUUUCAAAAAAAAAGUACUUAAUUUGUUUUUAAAAGGCAAGGUCUUGCUCCAUCACCCAGGCUGGAGUGCAGAAGGAGGAUGGUUUUAAAUGAGAGAGGGAAAACAGGAAGAAAAGUAACUUUUCCUUUUUAGUCUCUAUGUGCCAGGCAUAUGUGAAAGUCAAGAUAAUAAAUGUAUUCCAUAGUGGUUGUACCAGUUUACAUUCCCAACAGCAGUGUAGAAGUGUUACCUUUUCACUGCAUUCAUGCCAACAUCUAUUUUUUUUAUUUUUUUGAUAAUGGUCAUUCUUGCAGGAGUAAGGUGGCUUUGUGCAUUUUGAGCAUUGUGGUCUUGAUUUGCAUUUGUGCAUUUUGAUCAUUUGUGCAUUUUGAGCAUUGUGGUUUUGAUUUGCAUUUCCCUGAUCAUUAGUGAUGUUGAGCAUUUUUUCAUAUGUCUGUUGGUCAUUUGUGUGUCUUCUUUUGAGAACUGUCUAUUCAUGUCCUUAGCCCACUUUUUGAUGAGUUUUUUUUCUUGCUAAUUUGAGUUCCUUGUAGAUUCUAGAUAUUAAUUCUUUGUCAGAUGUAUAGAUUGUGAAGAUUUUCUCCCACUCUGUGGGUUGUCUAUUUACUCUGCUGUUACUUUUGCUGUGCAAAAGCUCUUUAGUUUAAUUAAAUCCCUCCUAUUUAUCUUUGUUUUUGUUGCAUUUGCUUUUGGGUUCUUGGUCAUACAAUCUUUGCCUAAGCCAAUGUCUAGAAGGGUUUUUCUGAUGUUAUCUUCUAGAAUUUUUAUAGUUUCAGGUCUUAAAGAACUAAAAGUAGAACUACCAUUUGAUCUGGCAAUUCCACUAUUGGAUAUCUACCCAGAGGAAAAGAAGUCAUUAAGCAAAAAAGAUAUGCACACGCAUGUUUAUAGCAACACAAUUUACGAUUGGAAAAAUGUGGAACUAGCCCAAUUGCCCAUCAAUCAAUGAGUGGAUAAAGAAACUGUGGUGUGUGUGCGUAUAUAUGAUGGGAUACUACUCAGCCAUAAAAAGGAAUGAAUUAAUGGCAUUUGCAGCAACCUGGACAUGAUUGGAGACUAUGAUUCUAAGUGACACAACUCAGGAAUGGAAAACCAAACAUCGUAUGCUUUCAUUCAUAAAUGGGAGCUAAGCUAUGAGGAUGCAAAGGCAUAAGAAGGAUACAGUGG
This 2630-nucleotide long non-coding RNA is filed under the name Homo sapiens (human). Its description in RNAcentral is "HSALNT0349528". Lineage: Eukaryota; Metazoa; Chordata; Mammalia; Primates; Hominidae. The record is from RNAcentral.